This 345-nucleotide unclassified non-coding RNA is filed under the name soil metagenome. Its description in RNAcentral is "partial contains 5.8S ribosomal RNA, internal transcribed spacer 2, and large subunit ribosomal RNA". The stretch from base 1 to 120 matches the Rfam family "5.8S ribosomal RNA", at positions 35 to 154 of the family's 154-position model. The record is from RNAcentral.
GAUGAAGAACUCAGCGAAAUGCGAUACGUAAUGUGAAUUGCAGAAUUCAGUGAAUCAUCGAGUCUUUGAACGCACAUUGCGCCCCCUGGUAUUCCGGGGGGCAUGCCUGUCCGAGCGUCAUUGCUGCCCUCAAGCACGGCUUGUGUGUUGGGCCUCCGUCCUCCUCCCGGGGGACGGGCCCGAAAGGCAGCGGCGGCACCGCGUCCGGUCCUCGAGCGUAUGGGGCUUCGUCACCCGCUCUUGUAGGCCCGGCCGGCGCUUGCCGACACAUCAAUCUUUUUUCCAGGUUGACCUCGGAUCAGGUAGGGAUACCCGCUGAACUUAAGCAUAUCAAUAAGCGGAGGA